GGAGGAUCGAAACUUUGGGUGUGCUAGAAUAAGGAAACCACAGAGAGGCCUUCUUUUCUAGGGUUCUGCAACUGAAACCUGGCAGAUUUCUCUUGUGUCUAGAUGACCUGCCUCCUGUAGGCAUGUGACCUGAGGGUCCCCAAGAAAAACAAUGCAGUUCACACUUCAGUUCUCAAAAUGCACUACUUCCUGGAAAAAAAUCUCAUCCAACAAAAGGAUCUCUUAGACAUUUAGGAGUCUACAGAGACCCUUAUUAUGAGGCCUCCCAAAGGGAUACAUUUCUACAAUCUUUAGCAGUGAGGGAGAAAGGCACAAAGCCCUGGUCCUGCAACCCUGUGUCAAAGCUCUGGUAGUAGCAGGUCAUUAGACCCUCUGUCCAAACUUCCCCAUAUAUAUCCAGCUUAGCUGGUAGAGCCCAACUCCUUCUGCCUGGCAUCACCUGAAAAGAGAUGCGAGAUUCAGGAUCUCAGGAACUCCGCACUUGGAACCGGAAGGAACAAGGAAGAGGAUAAUUCUAGGCUGUGCUCAGACCAAGAACUAAAUAGGGGAAGAAGUAGCAAAAGAUUCUGGGCUGAUGGAAAUUCAGGCCAAGAUCUAAGUACAAGACAAAGAAAAGACAUUUUACCCGGGGCACCCCUGUGUACUGAAGAUGGCAGCUGCUGUGGGAAAGUUGCUCUGAGCCUCAGUUGCCCGACCUGUAAGUGCCAUUCCUUGGGGCAUUUCUGCCAUGGCAGCCCUCAGGCCUGCUGCUUCUGGGAGAACAAGCUUGACAAACAUAUUACAGUCUGGUUCUGGUCAAGCAAAAUUCAUUAGCUCCAGGUCCUCAUGUCAUGCACCUGCUGUCACCCAGCAUGUGCCCUAUUUCAAGUAUAUAGCCACUAUCAAUGGAGAGUUCAAAGACCUAAGCCUUGAUGUUUUAAGGGGGAAAUAUUUGAUGAUUUUCUUCUAUCCUCUGGAUUUCACUUUUGUGUGUCCUACAGAAAUUGUUGCUUUUAGUGACAAAACUAAGGAAUUUCAUGAUGUGAACUGUGAAGUUAUUGUGGUCUCAGUGGACUCCCACUUUAGCCAUCUUGCCUGGAUAUAUACACCAAGAAAGAAUGGUGGUUUGGGCCACAUGAACAUUGCACUCUUGUAAGAUUUAACUAAGCAAGUUUCCUGAGCCUACAGUGUGCCGUUCGAAGGUCCUGGUCUUACAUUAAGAGGUCUCCUCAUAAAUGACCCCAAUGGAGUCAUCAAGCACUUGAAUGUCAAUGAUGUCUCAGUGGGCUGAAGCAUGGAAGAAACCCUCUUCUGGGUGAAGGCAUUCCAGUGUGUAGAAACCCAUGGAGAAGUCUGCCCAGCAAACUGGACAUGGGGUUCUCCUACAAUCACGCCAAAUCCAGCUGCUUCCAAAGAAUGUAAAUCAGUAGAUCACCCAUGUGUAUCUGCACCUUCUCACCCCAGAGAAGAACCACAGUUGAAACCUGCUCUUAUCAUUUUAAAGAUGAUAAUUUGUAGAAGGCAAGGAACCAAUUAUGCCUAUAUUCAUAACUAUUACUCUAAAUGUUUUGUUUCUGUAAUAUUAGCUAAGGCCUUUUAAACAUGGUUAGUUGCUAGUAUAAGGAAUCCCUUAUUGGUAACAUCUUGUUGGCUGGCUGGCUAGCUAGCUAGUUUCUACAGAACAUAAUUUGCUUCUGUAGAAGGCAAUUCUUAGAUCAUGUCUUCAAUGGCAACACUCUCCUGUCUUAGCCUUACUUGAAUCUUGCCUACAACAAAGUAGAGCAACACACAUUGAAAGCUUCUGAUCAAGGGUCCUGAAAUGUUCAUCUUGAACGUCUUUGUAUUAAACUGAAUUUUCUUUUAAGCUAACAAAGAUCACAGUUUUCAGUUGUUAUCAGCAGUCUAAUUUAACUCCUGCAAUGAAUGUUUAUGUGACUGAAGCAAAUGUGAAUAUUAUUUUAGAAAGUGGCAGAGCGACUGAUCAUGCAUGAUCCCUCAUCCCUGAUAUUUAUAGUAUAUGUAGUCAUUUUUCUUAUUUUAUUCAUUAGCUAACUUUGUCUAUAUAUAUUUCUAGAUAUUGAUUAAUGUAAUAGAUUAUAAAGGAUAUUUAUUGGAUCCA
This is an RNA transcript of Sapajus apella (tufted capuchin), 2098 nucleotides long. It is a transcript of the gene named thioredoxin-dependent peroxide reductase, mitochondrial-like, with no coding region annotated. The record is from RefSeq and is a predicted model, not a curated record. NCBI's taxonomy places the organism in Eukaryota, Metazoa, Chordata, Mammalia, Primates, Cebidae. The transcript is spliced from 2 exons.